GAUGAACGCUGGCGGCGUGCCUAAUACAUGCAAGUCGAGCGAACAGACGAGGAGCUUGCUCCUCUGACGUUAGCGGCGGACGGGUGAGUAACACGUGGAUAACCUACCUAUAAGACUGGGAUAACUUCGGGAAACCGGAGCUAAUACCGGAUAAUAUAUUGAACCGCAUGGUUCAAUAGUGAAAGACGGUUUUGCUGUCACUUAUAGAUGGAUCCGCGCCGCAUUAGCUAGUUGGUAAGGUAACGGCUUACCAAGGCAACGAUGCGUAGCCGACCUGAGAGGGUGAUCGGCCACACUGAACUGAGACACGGUCCAGACUCCUACGGGAGGCAGCAGUAGGGAAUCUUCCGCAAAGGGCGAAAGCCUGACGGAGCAACGCCGCGUGAGUGAUGAAGGUCUUCGGAUCGUAAAACUCUGUUAUUAGGGAAGAACAAAUGUGUAAGUAACUAUGCACGUCUUGACGGUACCUAAUCAGAAAGCCACGGCUAACUACGUG
RNAcentral lists this ribosomal RNA (496 nucleotides) under uncultured bacterium. RNAcentral describes it as "partial 16S ribosomal RNA". It matches the Rfam family "Bacterial small subunit ribosomal RNA", at positions 28 to 507 of the family's 1533-position model. The record is from RNAcentral.